Molecule: long non-coding RNA, 611 nt
Organism: Onychostruthus taczanowskii (white-rumped snowfinch)
Lineage: Eukaryota; Metazoa; Chordata; Aves; Passeriformes; Passeridae
Exons: 2
Source: RefSeq, a predicted model, not a curated record
AGACGUGGAAACUGUGGUGGCCGAUCUGGUGAAGCUGAUCCACAGCGCGGGCGCUGAGAGCCGGAGCAAGGCUGUGCGUCCCAAGGCACUGCUGGACAACUGCCUCAAGGUCAUGCGGAUGCUCUACGGGGUGCCCUGUCGGUGGGAGUCCACCUAACAGUGUGGAAGGUCCUUCACUCAACCCCUCACUGGACACCUGCUUGCCCUGGAGCCUUGGAUGCUGCCUCUGUUCUGCUCCUCCCAGAGCCCCGUGGUGGGUUCCCAAGGAAGCUGCAAAGGUGGGACAAAUGCCACUCCUUCCAGGACCAAACACAACCCUUUCCAGAACUGUGGGACUGUUUAUGGCUGUGGGAUCUUGUCCAUCCGAAAUGUCUGCCACCCUUUGCAUGGGUGUGGGCUCAGACACAGCCCCCUGUGGCAGGCAGCUGUUGGGGGGACACACAGCCCUCCCUGCCCACAGGCAGGUGAGGGCAUCACCCCGUUUCUCUCCAUUUGUAUUUUUUCCUCAGCUUUGAUUAAACACCAGUUAAUUCUGUAGCAUUGCAGCUCAGCUUCCGACUGGGUCCUGGGAUCCUCCAGCCUUACCCGAAAUAAAGGACCAGCAAAGAGAA